This 619-nucleotide ribosomal RNA is filed under the name uncultured eukaryote. RNAcentral's name for it is "SSU rRNA". It matches the Rfam family "Eukaryotic small subunit ribosomal RNA", at positions 501 to 1124 of the family's 1831-position model. The record is from RNAcentral.
UCUUGCAAUUGGAAUGAGUACAAUUUAAAUCUCUUAACGAGGAUCAAUUGGAGGGCAAGUCUGGUGCCAGCAGCCGCGGUAAUUCCAGCUCCAAUAGCGUAUAUUAAAGUUGUUGCAGUUAAAAAGCUCGUAGUUGGAUUUCUGGUGGGAGCACGGGUCGGCCCUCACGGGUUGUACUGUUGUUGCGUCCUGCCGUUUCGGAGGGAAUGGCCUCGCUAUUAAGUUAGCGUGGUCGGGAACUCUGUCGUUUACUGUGAAAAAAUUAGAGUGUUCAAAGCAGGCCUUCGCUGUGAAUACAUUAGCAUGGAAUAAUAAGAUAGGACUGUAGUGCUAUUUUGUUGGUUUGCGUACUAUGGUAAUGAUUAAUAGGGAUAGUUGGGGGUAUUCAUAUUCAAUUGUCAGAAGUGAAAUUCUUGGAUUUAUGGAAGAAGAACUACUGCGAAAGCAUUUACCAAGGAUGUUUUCUUUAAUCAAGAACGAAAGUUAGGGGAUCGAAGAUGAAUAGAUACCAUCGUAGUCUUAACCAUAAACUAUGCCGACUCGGGAUUGGCCGACCUUUGAAUUAAUGACUCGGUCAGCACCUUAUGAGAAAUCAAAGUCUUUGGGUUCCGGGGGGAGU